Molecule: ribosomal RNA, 468 nt
Filed under: uncultured bacterium
Lineage: Bacteria
Description: partial 16S ribosomal RNA
Rfam family: Bacterial small subunit ribosomal RNA
Source: RNAcentral
GACGAACGCUGGCGGCGUGCUUAAUACAUGCAAGUCGAACGGUGAUGCUCCAGCUUGCUGGAGUGGAUCAGUGGCGAACGGGUGAGUAACACGUGAGCAACCUGCCCCAGACUCUGGAAUAAGCGCUGGAAACGGCGUCUAAUACUGGAUACGAAACUGGCCCGCAUGGGCAUGGUUUGGAAAGUUUUUCGGUUUGGGAUGGGCUCGCGGCCUAUCAGCUUGUUGGUGAGGUAAUGGCUCACCAAGGCGACGACGGGUAGCCGGCCUGAGAGGGCGACCGGCCACACUGGGACUGAGACACAGCCCAGACUCCUACGGGAGGCAGCAGUGGGGAAUAUUGCACAAUGGGCGAAAGCCUGAUGCAGCGACGCCGCGUGAGGGAUGACGGCCUUCGGGUUGUAAACCUCUUUCAGCAGGGAAGAAGCGAAAGUGACGGUACCUGCAGAAGAAGCACCGGCUAACUACGUG